This 2391-nucleotide long non-coding RNA is filed under the name Olea europaea subsp. europaea. The stretch from base 1035 to 1112 matches the Rfam family "Small nucleolar RNA R160". The record is from RNAcentral. Lineage: Eukaryota; Viridiplantae; Streptophyta; Magnoliopsida; Lamiales; Oleaceae.
GUCGUAUUCAUCGUUUCCAUCCAGCCCAGAAAUGAAACCCUAACCUAAACUUAUUUCUCUAUAAAAUCCGCCACACAAAUUUAUCGUCCUCAAGAUUCAUUUUGAAACUACCAGUUUUUUCUUUUCUUUCUUUCUUUCUUUCUUUUUUUUUUUUUUGUAGAUUUAUUUUCUUUUUGAAAAUCGAUUUCUAAAUUUUUUAUGAGCAUUUCUUUUGUUUCAAUUGUUAUACACGCCCCAAAUAGCCCUUUGCAACUUGAAGUUGAUAGUUGUAAAGAAAAAUUCGAGGCGAAGGUAUAUUCGGUGCGACAGAAAUUUCGUAUUUUUGGCAAGUAUUUUGGUUGAAUUAAGCUUUUAUUCAUUCAGCUACGUUUUGCCAAAAAUAAAUAAAUAAAAAUAAAAUGAAAUAAAAAAUGAAAAUGAAAUGCUUUACAAGAAUUUACUAUAAUCUGUAAACAGCAAAGCAAAAUGAUGAAAAUUUAUAAGCCGAAUUUCAAUGUGGGGUUCUAAAUAUUAUGGUUUUUCAAAGUUCUCUGAUUGCUUUGCUAGAUUAAUUCUUGAAUUUUAACUUUGUGGAUUUUGAUUAUUUGAAAAUUAUACCAUUGGUCUGUUAUACCCUUUCUAUCAUUUAAGUUACUACAAGAAUUAUUGGAUUGGAGUAUGGAUUGAUGUUUGAUUUAUGUAGGCGUUUAACACUUGAUUCUUUUUUAUGUAGAUUUUGGAAUUUGAUUGCUGAGUUGAUUUUCAUUUAUGCACUACUUCAAGCAUUUUCCUUUGUGAUCUUCAGGCAUUAACCCUUGGUGUUUCCUUAGUUUAUUUAAUCUGCACAAUCUACUUCAAUUUUUAAUUUUUGGGUAUAAUCUCGCAUUUUGGAUGGUACGUUUUGGAGGUUGAAAAUUCGCAUUGGUUUAUGAUUGCAUAUAUGUGUUAAGCUGGACAGGGGGAUUAAUGCUGCAAUAAAUUUGAUUUACAGCCUGCAAGAGGCUAUGGUUUUCGUGGUCGUUAGGUUGGACUAUGGUUCCAUUUUGAAAAGGGAAAGCAAGAUGAUGAAAACUUGUAAUCUGAAUUAUGUGUGGAAAUACAAAUUCAAUGGUCUUCAAAGUUCUCUGAUUGCUUUGCUGUUUGUUGAUAUUCAGUGUGCAGGUUACUGAUUGUGGGUAAGUGUGUAUAUAUAAUUUAUACGAAGGCCAUAGAAAAUGUAGGUUGUUUGGAGGAUCAAGGAAUGUAUGCAAUUUCUGGGAUUAUAUAUAUUCCUAGCGUUCCUUAAAUUUUAGAUGCUUUACAUGUCUAUUUCUUUUCGUAUUUUAUUGGCUAGGUCAAAAUGUAUUGGGGUUGGACCAACAUUGUUGGGAAAAGAGACAAAUUGAAGCACCAAAAUACAUGGUCUGUUAUAAAUUUGUAUACAGACUAUACGAGCAUGGUGCCACAUUGAGAGUUUCAUCAAUGAUUGCCAAUUGAGUAUCUAUGUCAAAUGGCAAAACUAUUGUGGCAGAUGAAACACAUUUAAUAGUAUUUGUCUAUUGAAAUGUGUGGUUAAAAAUCAAGUUUGACCAAUUAUAAUUGAUUUAUAAAUCAUUUAUAAGUUAGCCAAUUGGAGGCUUAGUAAUAAGCUUCUAAAAUUUGUCUGCUGAAUUUCUACUUUUGGAUAGAGUAUAUGAAUGUAAUUUUGUUUAACUGAUUAUAGGAAAAGGGUCAUAAAAAUUUGUAUUCCUGUAUUUGGAAUUGGCUGGUUAACUGUGUCAUUGAAUGUGCAAGGAACCUUUAUAUGUUGAUAUAGGCUUAGCAAAUGCACGAUGAGACCUUUCUAUGUUGAUAGUGAUAGUAAAAUUUAUUAGAAAUGGUUGAGAGUACUCUAUGGUGAUUGCUGUAAUAAGAUUUAGGGGAGAGAGUGAGAAAAUAGGACACAAGAAUUAAAGAUUUUGAAAAUUUGGUGGAUGGCUCUUCCGUGCAUUUGCAAUGAAUUUUUUAUUCUUAUCCAGCUUUUCACUGUUGCACUUUCUAGGGAUAUUGAGAAGUCUAUAUGUUGUUCCCACAAGGAACGAUAACAAUGGGGAAAAAUGGACUUUCUUGAAUUUCUCAACGGGCUUAGGAGGUUUUAAUUCUGCAUUUUCAAAUUAAUGUAAGAUACUAGCCUGGAAACAGAGAUCAAAAUGGAUUCAUGUCUGAUAUGAGCUUAUCAAAUGCAUGAUAAGAAACCUCCAUGUUGACUGUUGUAGUCAAAUUUGUUAGGGAUGGUUAAAAAGUACCCUGUUCUAUACAAAGGUCUUGUUGAUAAAAUGAUAAAAUAUGAUAUCGUAAUUGAAGAUUUUGAACCUCUUUGCAUGUUUUUGUAACCAAUGAUUUGUUGAGUUAUGCUAUUUGUAUAUCAGAGAGAAAAGAUAGAGAAGAAAGUCG